Molecule: long non-coding RNA, 985 nt
Filed under: Homo sapiens (human)
Lineage: Eukaryota; Metazoa; Chordata; Mammalia; Primates; Hominidae
Description: non-protein coding lnc-FANCC-9:1
Source: RNAcentral
UCUAAAUAGAGACAACAUCUUUAAAAGGCAUGGAGGGUCUGCACCUGGAGACUCCCACCUAAGAUGGGGGUUUAGAUGAGACCACUCUGGGAGGACACGCAGCCGAGUGUGGAGGCCCCGAGGAAGAUCAGCUCUGAAGACACAGGCAGGCAAAGGGCAGACCUCGAAGGAGAUGGAGGAGGAAUGACAGAGGGCAAGAAGAAUCAGGUAAUCUACCCAUGUCCACCCACAAAACAGAACGGACCUGUAAAACACUGCACUCCUACCUCAGCCUGGACUCAACAGCCCAGCCCGGCUCCUCCUCAUCCCUGCAUUCUUGGAACUGUGCUCAUGGUCCGAGCCGGCCUGCCGGCGAUCAGUCUUCCCCCUGACAAGCCUCACUGGAAAACUGUUUCUUUUUUUCCCCUUGAAAGGGUCUGUGUCAACUGCCUCUACAAAUGCCAGACUGUCGAUUCAUCAUCAUUACAGAGAAUGGAAGAUAAUCACUUCAAUGACAUCUUCAUCCUAAAAACGUUUCUUUCUUGUCUUUUUUUUUUUUUUUUAAAUCACAGAGUUGAUUAUUUUUCCCAAAUAAGAGAUGGGCAGGAAAGUGAUAUUUCAAAUCUCAAAAAACACAAGCCCUCUUGCUUCUAUUCCCCACCAUAAAUUCUUUUUGGCUCCAAGUGGUGGAGGAAAAGGAGGUGGCAGGCAGGGGUGGCUUGCAGCCACACUCCCGUGUUGUCAUUCUUCCCCAGCAGACCACCUCUGGGGCUGCCUCCUCCACAGAGGCCAAGCGUAUUGCAUGUCUGCCGCCUUGCCCCUCGAGAUUAAAAAUAUCAUGUCUGGUCUGAAAACACUUUCUCAAGGCUGUUCCUGAACACUACCUACCCACCCAGAUUAGAAGACUGCGUCUGUUAAUCUAAAACAUGUUUCUAGCAGAGGAGGAAGGAGUGCCUUCAUUACUCCCAGGAGCUGCUCCCAUCCUUCGGGAGGAAUUCAAUUUGGA